Perca fluviatilis (European perch) is the source of this 235-nucleotide long non-coding RNA. RefSeq lists it as uncharacterized. The transcript is spliced from 2 exons. The record is from RefSeq and is a predicted model, not a curated record. Lineage: Eukaryota; Metazoa; Chordata; Actinopteri; Perciformes; Percidae.
GACAAGAUGACCCGCCAGUGGCAGCGGCACCCUCAGCACUGGAUUGGACUCAAUUGUUUGUUGGACUCUGGAGGAGGCCUACCACAUGGUCACCCCCACCACGUCACGGGGCACGCUCUGGAGAGCACACAGCACCCACCACUCACCACUGGAUUCCCUCGACACAACUUCCCUUUUUUUUUGCCACCAGCACAUUUUAUUGUAUUUAUUUCACGCAUUAAAUCAUUUACUUUUA